This 503-nucleotide ribosomal RNA is filed under the name uncultured bacterium. RNAcentral describes it as "partial 16S ribosomal RNA". It matches the Rfam family "Bacterial small subunit ribosomal RNA", at positions 30 to 523 of the family's 1533-position model. The record is from RNAcentral.
AUUGAACGCUGGCGGCAGGCUUAACACAUGCAAGUCGAGCGGGGUGAUGGUGCUUGCACUAUCACUUAGCGGCGGACGGGUGCGUAAUGCUUAGGAAUCUGCCUAUUAGUGGGGGACAACAUCUCGAAAGGGAUGCUAAUACCGCAUACGUCCUAAGGGAGAAAGCAGGGGAUCACUUGUGACCUUGCGCUAAUAGAUGAGCCUAAGUCGGAUUAGCUAGGUGGUGGGGUAAAGGCCUACCAAGGCGACGAUCUGUAGCGGGUCUGAGAGGAUGAUCCGCCACACUGGGACUGAGACACGGCCCAGACUCCUACGGGAGGCAGCAGUGGGGAAUAUUGGACAAUGGGGGGAACCCUGAUCCAGCCAUGCCGCGUGUGUGAAGAAGGCCUUAUGGUUGUAAAGCACUUUAAGCGAGGAGGAGGCUCUUUUGGUUAAUACCCAAGAUGAGUGGACGUUACUCGCAGAAUAAGCACCGGCUAACUCUGUGCCAGCCGCCGCCGUAA